CAGCACACUCUUGUGGUUCCCUCGGAUGAGCAGGGUUGGUGGAAGGUUUUUCGACAGGAUGUCCAGCCAGGCCAUGUAGAGGAGUUCAUUCAGGCGGAUCUGGAGAUUUGUCUGGAACAAAGCAAGGGAAAGACACAUGUGUCACCAACGUUGUGCCCGCCAGCGCCAGGUAGCCCUCUAGGAGCUUCUGAGGUCCCCACCAAGG
This is a long non-coding RNA of Engraulis encrasicolus (European anchovy), 205 nucleotides long. RefSeq lists it as uncharacterized. The transcript has 3 exons. The record is from RefSeq and is a predicted model, not a curated record. Lineage: Eukaryota; Metazoa; Chordata; Actinopteri; Clupeiformes; Engraulidae.